AUUCAGCAGAGAACAGUAAUGCCUAGCUUCCGUUUUUAACUUAACACUUCAGUAGAACAUUUUCUUCCAAGAGGGAGAUUUUGGCCUAAGUAAAGUAGUGGGCUCUUUUUUAAAAAAAAAUUAAUUUUACUUUAAUGUGAGCAAAUCUGUAUUGGUAUGGUGUUCUGCAAUGCAUUACACUGACUUUGAAAAUUUCGAGUACUAAUGCCUUAUGUCUGGGGUUACCAUUCCCUGUGCAUCACAUACUAGUUAGUUAACAUAGCAUUUUGCUUUUCCCAUGUAAUUUUUUCCCUAUAUAAUACUGGAUUCCUGAUACUAAUUGACUUGAUACAAAAGAAUGGCUGGAUGAUAUCCAGAUAACGUAUAAUACAUGGGCUUCACCACAAUCAGGCUCUGAAUAAAUACAGACCUGUCAGAGAUUGAUAAAAUAAACUACAAUGGAUAGUGCUGUUUAAACAGUCCAUUCAAUAACAUAUAUAAGCCAGCCUGCCUUCCAUUGUGUCUGAAAUUCUUAUUUUUGUAGGUAAACAAAUGCACAUUCAGCACUGAUUGAAUAGCCCCUUGAACUAUGCUCCACAGUUUGCGUUUGGGUUAAUCUUGUCGGUUUUAAUAUAGAGAGAAAAAAGCUCAAAGCACCAGGGGUGGAAUUGUUAGUGCUUUCACAUCCACAUUCCUCACAUUUUGUCAGGAUGAUAAACUGUAGGUAAUGGACUGUCGUUGUUCUGCAGGACAACUGAGCCAGGCAGAGCACAAAGACUAAGCUAAAGCGAUACCUCACAACAUGCUUGGUAGCCUUCUUUUCAGAUGAGAAUUUAUUUGAGAAUCAUGUGUCUAGGGACUGCACAUCUUAACCUCAACAGUUACAGCUUCAAGCCCCAGAAACAGGAGCUGGAGGUUAAGAUGAUUUGCUAAGCACCUGGUUCUAAAUCUUUUACAAAGCAUAAGCUGUUGACGCUGGUUCUGCCGACGCAAAGACAUGCAGAUGACUCCAACAUUUCCAGAGGCUUCUGACUUAAGCUAAAGUGUGUGGACAGGUGAAUUCGCCAUGGGCCUGGAGACCAGCUUGCUAAAAACUAUGUGUUUGAAUGGUUCCUCCAGACAGAGUCAGCUGAAGAACAAUUGGUGGAUUUAUAUUAAAACCUCUUGUCUGUAAACUUACUGAGGUGCAUCCUUCGGUUGGUGGAUCAGUGAGAUAAUUGCCUUCAGAUGGACAUUGCAACUGGAGCAACUAAAUCCUUGCUGUCUUUCCUUCCUCUGAAAUCUUCCAGGUAGCUCCCGAGAGCUUCAGUAUGACACCAAACUUCGGGCGACGUUUUAGAGUGCGUUCACCUAAUGGGAAACUAUUCGAGAUCCCAGCGUGACUGCAGUAAUGCGUCAUAGGAAUGGGAGUGGCAGGGGAAAAGGAAAUACAGAUUGUAGACCCUAAUAAAAAAAUUUUUAGGAAAGAUAUUUCUUUAACGUUUUAUGAGAACUUCAUUCUUAAAAUACUUAAUUGCAAAUUAGACAAAUAGAAGUGCUCUUCUAAGGAAGGUGAUUAAACUGGUCCUCCUAUCAGCCUAAUCUCUGCCUGCCUUUGCUGCUGACAUAAAGAACCUGUUUUUCAGGUCACUUAAUAUACAUCUACAUAGAUUUGCUUAUGAGCUCACCCUUUGUGUAGCGGAGUAGAGCCUUAAAGAGGAGUGCUCAACUGUUUAAAAUAUUUUGAUUAAAAUAUGCAGAACCCAUAGAACUAUAAGCUUCUAGUCAGGAAUUAGCUCUUUCAGGGAACAGCUCCCCCCUUCUUUUUAAGGGGGGAAUUAGAAGGAGGCUGGGGGAGGAAUAUAAGAACAGCAAAGAAGGAAGGAUAGCAAAUGGGACAUGUUCCGAACAGCU
RNAcentral lists this long non-coding RNA (1872 nucleotides) under Homo sapiens (human). RNAcentral describes it as "HSALNT0375091". The record is from RNAcentral. Lineage: Eukaryota; Metazoa; Chordata; Mammalia; Primates; Hominidae.